CAAGUACUCCCUCCGUCCGGAAUUACUUGUCAUCAAAAUGGAUGUGUCUAGAACUAAAAUACAUCUAGAUACAUCCAUUUCAAUGACAAGUAUUUUUGGGCGGAGGGAGUACAAG
Molecule: non-coding RNA, 115 nt
Organism: Triticum urartu
Lineage: Eukaryota; Viridiplantae; Streptophyta; Magnoliopsida; Poales; Poaceae
Source: Rfam